RNAcentral lists this ribosomal RNA (472 nucleotides) under uncultured bacterium. RNAcentral's name for it is "bacterial SSU rRNA". It matches the Rfam family "Bacterial small subunit ribosomal RNA", at positions 355 to 825 of the family's 1533-position model. The record is from RNAcentral.
UGGGGAAUAUUGGACAAUGGGCGAAAGCCUGAUCCAGCCAUGCCGCGUGUGUGAAGAAGGUCUUCGGAUUGUAAAGCACUUUAAGUUGGGAGGAAGGGCAGUUACCUAAUACGUGAUUGUUUUGACGUUACCGACAGAAUAAGCACCGGCUAACUCUGUGCCAGCAGCCGCGGUAAUACAGAGGGUGCAAGCGUUAAUCGGAAUUACUGGGCGUAAAGCGCGCGUAGGUGGUUAGUUAAGUUGGAUGUGAAAUCCCCGGGCUCAACCUGGGAACUGCGUUCAAAACUGACUGACUAGAGUAUGGUAGAGGGUGGUGGAAUUUCCUGUGUAGCGGUGAAAUGCGUAGAUAUAGGAAGGAACACCAGUGGCGAAGGCGACCACCUGGACUGAUACUGACACUGAGGUGCGAAAGCGUGGGGAGCAAACAGGAUUAGAUACCCGCGUAGUCCCUGAGCGGGCUGGCAAGGCGCAU